UGGGGAAUAUUGGACAAUGGGCGCAAGCCUGAUCCAGCCAUGCCGCGUGAGUGACGAAGGUCUUCGGAUUGUAAAACUCUUUUGGCGGGGACGAUAAUGACGGUACCCGCAGAAUAAGCCCCGGCUAACUUCGUGCCAGCAGCCGCGGUAAUACGAAGGGGGCUAGCGUUGUUCGGAAUCACUGGGCGUAAAGCGCACGUAGGCGGAUGUGCCAGUCAGGGGUGAAAUCCCGGAGCUCAACUCCGGAACUGCCUCUGAUACAGCACGUCUUGAGUUCGAGAGAGGUGGGUGGAAUUCCUAGUGUAGAGGUGAAAUUCGUAGAUAUUAGGAAGAACACCGGUGGCGAAGGCGGCCCACUGGCUCGAUACUGACGCUGAGGUGCGAAAGCGUGGGGAGCAAACAGGAUUAGAUACCCACGUAGUCCCUGAGCGGGCUGGCAAGGCGCAU
This 447-nucleotide ribosomal RNA is filed under the name uncultured bacterium. RNAcentral's name for it is "bacterial SSU rRNA". It matches the Rfam family "Bacterial small subunit ribosomal RNA", at positions 355 to 825 of the family's 1533-position model. The record is from RNAcentral.